This 254-nucleotide ribosomal RNA is filed under the name uncultured bacterium. RNAcentral describes it as "partial 16S ribosomal RNA". It matches the Rfam family "Bacterial small subunit ribosomal RNA", at positions 524 to 776 of the family's 1533-position model. The record is from RNAcentral.
UACGUAGGGGCCAAGCGUUGUCCGGAUUUAUUGGGCGUAAAGAGCUCGUAGGUGGUUCGGCAAGUCAGUUGUGAAAUCUCCGCGCUCAACGCGGAGGGGUCAGCUGAAACUGCUGUGACUUGAGUCUGGUAGGGGAGUGUGGAAUUCCCGGUGUAGCGGUGAAAUUCGUAGAUAUUCGGAGGAACACCAGUGGCGAAGGCGGCUCACUGGCUCGAUACUGACGCUGAGGUGCGAAAGCGUGGGGAGCAAACCGG